This 485-nucleotide ribosomal RNA is filed under the name uncultured bacterium. RNAcentral describes it as "bacterial SSU rRNA". It matches the Rfam family "Bacterial small subunit ribosomal RNA", at positions 30 to 507 of the family's 1533-position model. The record is from RNAcentral.
AUUGAACGCUGGCGGAAUGCUUUACACAUGCAAGUCGAACGGCAGCACGGACUUCGGUCUGGUGGCGAGUGGCGAACGGGUGAGUAACAUAUCGGAACGUAUCCAAUAAUGGGGGAUAACUAAUCGAAAGGUUGGCUAAUACCGCAUACGCCCUGAGGGGGAAAGCUAGGGAUCGUCAAGACCUGGCGUUAAUGGAGCGGCCGAUAUCUGAUUAGCUAGUUGGUGGGGUAAGGGCCCACCAAGGCGACGAUCAGUAGCUGGUCUGAGAGGACGACCAGCCACACUGGAACUGAGACACGGUCCAGACUCCUACGGGAGGCAGCAGUGGGGAAUUUUGGACAAUGGGCGCAAGCCUGAUCCAGCAAUGCCGCGUGCAGGAUGAAGGCCUUCGGGUUGUAAACUGCUUUUGUACGGAGCGAAACGGCUCUCUUUAAUACGGGGGGCUAAUGACGGUACCGUAAGAAUAAGCACCGGCUAACUACGUG